UCGAACAGCGCCCUCGAUGGCCAGCAUCACAUCGAGGUCCGAUUUGCGCGACGGCUUUUGUGUCGGCUGUGGCAUGAGCAGUGCGGCGACAUCGAGGUGGCCGGCCGUGGCGGCUGCGACGAGCGCGGGACCCGUGUCGACGGCCUUACAGGCGUCGUAGUCUGUGCGCAGGCUCCGAAGCAGAAAGAGGACGGGCCGCGCGCAUCCGUUGCGCGACGCCUGCUCGAUCCACUUGGCAGCGCCGCGGAGCGGGUCGUUCCACGGGCGCGACUCUAUGUGCCCGAUGAGCGAAUCGGCACGCGGCGAGCGCAUGACGGCGCCCAACGCCUCGUGCGACAAAGAGAUGUGCGGGUGCGCCUCGACGACGUGGAUCAGGCCGGCAUCGAGCGCCGCGAUCCCGCGGUCGCUAAAGUGGGAACACGCAAACUGGCCGAACGUGGCGCACGUGCCACAUUGCUUCCAGCGACCCAGUGCUCCGUCGAUGGCCUCGGCGCACCCCGAUCGCAGUGUCUGCGCGACAAUAAAGCACGGCACCCUGGCGGUCGCGGGAUCGUCGUCGACAUUGUCCAGAAAGUCAAAUAGGUCCCCGUUCUCCACGCCAAUGAGCCCGUGGUGGUCCUCGUAGCCGGCGAGCGCGCGCCCGUGCACGGUCCUGUGCGACGUCUCGACGAGGCGUUCACAAGCGAGGGCCGCCGUGUGCCUGCGAAAGGCACAGAGCGCGUCGAUACCCAACUCCAAGAGACCGCAUGCCGGGGCCGCCUUGGCCACCAGCCGGCACAUGGUCCUGUCCGAGGCCAUGCCGAGCGUCUCCCACAACCAGGUGAGCGUGGUCUUUGGCGUGCACCACACGGCCGGCGCGUCAAGGGCAGUGUCGAGGCCGUCGGGAAAGGCCGACGCUCGAUCGUUUGCCUCUCCAAAGGCGAGCGCAGCGUGGCGCCUCACGCGCACCAUGCGCCGCAGGGCGUCCAAGUCUCCAGCGAUGGCGGCAUCCUUGACAAAGUGUGCCUCGGUGCCGGGGCAUGCGUGCCACAGACACGCCAGAACGACGUCGUCGAUGGGAUCUUGUUGGGAGCAGGCCUCUGGUUGCCCUUCUUUGUCGGCAUCAACAGCAGCAAUGGGCGUGCCUCGAUCGCCGCCGUCGGCAACGAUCGUUGUGGCGUUCUGCUCGGGCAGAUUUGUUCUCUUGGCCGUGACGCCAUUGGUGCGACCGCCAUCGCCGAGGAUCGCCAAAGCGGCUUCGAGCGCCUGCAAGAGACGAAAGGGACUGCUCACGGAGCCGAUCCAGACGGCCGUCGCCGUGUGGCCGGCGGCCAGCGCCACGGGAAAGGCGCUGACAAAGUGUCCGAUGGGCUCGUGACAUCGAAACAGCCAUGCGAGAAAGGCGGCGCACACAGCACACGACCUGAGCCGACAGCGUAUCUUGUCACGCACCGAGGAUCGUACGGUAUCGAUCAAAGCGCGCAUCGGAUCAGGACCAAGCGGAUCGAUGCAGCACGCCGCCUUGGAGUCGCCAUACCACAAGAGUAUGGCGUGUCUGUAGAUGGCGCACACAACGUCGAGCCUGCCCGCGCCCGCCGCAGCCAAGAGCGCGUUGGGAAGACACUCGCGCGCGUGGCCAGCCACGCGAUGUGAAACAAGGUCAGUAUCGGCGUAGGGCUGUGCCUGCGCAACGCCGGCUGUGCCCGAGUAGGCGUGUGAACACGGACAGAGCCCGGCGGCACCUUGGGCGAUGCGCUCUGCCCUGUAGCGUGCGGCUGCGGAACAAGAGAGCACGUUGAAAGCACGAGACGACGCGAGACAGGCGCCGAUAGCCGGCGCCGGCAGCCAGGCGAGAAUGCCCGACAAAAUCUCGGGAGGCAUGUCGGCGAGCGUCGGACCCUGCCGCACAUCGGCGUGGUCGCAUGCUUGCAUUUUUUGUGUUUUUGGUCCCUUUUUUCUCUAGGGAAAGAGAGUCGUCUCUGGGCGUCUGUCCGUCGAGACCGGAAACACGCGG
This 1993-nucleotide long non-coding RNA is filed under the name Pandoravirus neocaledonia. RNAcentral's name for it is "hypothetical ncRNA". The record is from RNAcentral.